ACCUAUGGGAUAGCUCAGUCGGUAGAAAAUGAGACUCUUAAUCUCAGGGUCGUGGGUUUGAGUCCCAUGUUGGGCA
This 76-nucleotide transfer RNA is filed under the name Podarcis lilfordi (Lilford's wall lizard). Its description in RNAcentral is "tRNA.Lys". The stretch from base 11 to 68 matches the Rfam family "tRNA", at positions 8 to 63 of the family's 71-position model. From Rfam's summary of the family: Transfer RNA (tRNA) molecules are approximately 80 nucleotides in length. Their secondary structure includes four short double-helical elements and three loops (D, anti-codon, and T loops). Further hydrogen bonds mediate the characteristic L-shaped molecular structure. tRNAs have two regions of fundamental functional importance: the anti-codon, which is responsible for specific mRNA codon recognition, and the 3' end, to which the tRNAs corresponding amino acid is attached (by aminoacyl-tRNA synthetases). tRNAs cope with the degeneracy of the genetic code in two manners: having more than one tRNA (with a specific anti-codon) for a particular amino acid; and 'wobble' base-pairing, i.e. permitting non-standard base-pairing at the 3rd anti-codon position. The record is from RNAcentral. Lineage: Eukaryota; Metazoa; Chordata; Lepidosauria; Squamata; Lacertidae.